This 492-nucleotide long non-coding RNA is filed under the name Salmo salar (Atlantic salmon). RNAcentral's name for it is "lncRNA (ENSSSAG00000109987.1)". The record is from RNAcentral. Lineage: Eukaryota; Metazoa; Chordata; Actinopteri; Salmoniformes; Salmonidae.
UGUGAGUGGGACAGUGUGAGUGGGGCAGUGUGAGUGGGACAGUGUGAGUGGGACAGUGUGAGUGGGGCAGUGUGAGUAUGGCAGUGUGAGUGGGGCAGUGUGAGUGGGGCAGUGUGAGACAGUGUCUGUGGGGCAGUGUGAGUAGGGCAGUGUGAGUGGGGCAGUGUGAGUGGGACAGUGUGAGUGGGGCAGUGUGAGUGGGGCAGUGUGAGUGGGGCAGUGUGAGUAGGGCAGUGUGACUGGGGCAGUGUGAGUAGGGCAGUGUGAGUGGGGCAGUGUGAGUAGGGCAGUGUGAGUAGGGCAGUGUGAGUGGGGCAGUGUGAGUGGGGCAGUGUGAGUGGGGCAGUGUGAGUGGGGCAGUGUGAGUAUGGCAGUGUGAGUGGGGCAGUGUGAGUGGGGCAGUGUGAGUGGGGCAGUGUGAGUGGGGCAGUGUGAGUGGGACAGUGUGUGAGUGGGGCAGUGUGAGUGGGGCAGUGUGAGUGGGGCAGUGUG